This 1580-nucleotide long non-coding RNA is filed under the name Homo sapiens (human). Its description in RNAcentral is "HSALNT0281173". The record is from RNAcentral. Lineage: Eukaryota; Metazoa; Chordata; Mammalia; Primates; Hominidae.
CACUAAGCAGGGGACACAGGAAGUAGUUUCUCUUUUCUUCCACCUUGCCUCUGACACCUCAGGGCAGUGAAGGCUUUGAUAUGCGUGAGGAGGCAUCGGGUCAGCAGAUGGAGGAGUCCAGGCCCUGUUCUAGGCAAGAUAAGUACUCUGAGUGAAGUUUGAGGGAACCACCCACCACAGAUUGGAGGGACUCCCACAGAGUCCAACCCCUGAUUUCAGCCCUGUUAGAUCCCAGACAGGGAUCAUUUGAUUUAGUACCUUCUGAAUUCCCUCAGUGAGGACUCUGGGAGCUGAGAGUCAGCAGAUGGAGGCGUCCAGGCUCUGCCACACGUUAAGUUGACCCUUAGACAACUUGGGUUUGAACUGCAUGGAUCUACUUAUACAUGGAUUUUCUUCUGCCUCUGCCACCCAUGAAACAGCAAGACCAACCGUUCCUUUUCCAUUUUUCUCCUCAGCCUACUCAACACAAAGAAGAUGAAUAUGAAGACCUUUGUGAUGAUCCACUUCACUUAAUGAAUAGUUGUAGGCAAAGCCAGCUGCCAUUUCAUAAGAACACUCAGGCAACACUAUGGAGCUGUUCAUUGGCAAGGAAAUUAGUUCUCCUGCCGUAACCAGCAAGGAACUGAAGCUCUUGCUAACAGCUAUGUGAAUUAGUUAUUUUGGAAGCAGAUCCUCCAACUCCAGUCAAGCCAGCUGACAUACAGCACUAGCUGACAUCAUGAUUGCAACCAUGUGAGAAGAUUCGGGUCAGAGCCACCCAGAUGCUGAAACCUGAAGUCAGCAGGGAAGUCAGGAAGAGGAGAUGAUGCAAAGCAGAGGAAGCAAGGAUAAAUGGAAUCCAUGAGGACUAUCUGGAGCUCUCAAGGACUGACUGGGACCCAUGUUGAUCUUCCACUGCCUCCAAACCUCCAAUUUCAAUGACAUCAAUGCCCUGAAAAAAAAAAGUGGGCGUUCUUUUUUAUGGAGCUGGUGAAGAAGGAGGAAGAUAUGAGGGAGAACUGGAGCAAUUGUGGGCCCAACUGCUGCCUCACACCAAGCAGAGAACCCUGAAGGAAGAGGUGCCAGGAGAGAUGAAAGGAAAUAUCAUGGGAAUGGAGUGCUGUUCAGCCUGCGGAAUGUCUGGAAUAUCUGAGAAGCAGCAGGACAACAGUCGAUGCCUCUAGUGGGAAUAAAAGUCAAUUGAAUAUCUACCAGACAAGAUAGAAUUUGCAUAUCCAUCAGUUACAAAGAGGGAAGAAGUAGCUCAAAGACAAUGAAAAGGACCAAAAUCUGAUAAUCCAUAAAGGUAGAUCUAUAGUGAGAAGCUGAACCAUAACUGAAACACUGCUAAGGAAGCAUGGGAUGAUGAGAGAAGACACAUUCAUCUUAGGAUGUAUUCGUUAACCAUAAGAUAAAGGAAAAAGCAGUGCAUGGAAGCUGAAUAUAAGGUAUGGGCAAACCAAGAUCAUUCAUCUCAUACGGUAAUUAUCUCUAAAGCAAGGGCUCCUCCAGGGUAUUCCCUUUGCAGCAGAAGGGUCAUUUUAUCUUAAGGUCAUGCCUACCUAAAUUUCCCUAUUCCCUAAUGUUAGCAUCGAUAACCC